Molecule: ribosomal RNA, 699 nt
Filed under: Spadella cephaloptera
Lineage: Eukaryota; Metazoa; Chaetognatha; Sagittoidea; Phragmophora; Spadellidae
Description: partial 16S ribosomal RNA
Source: RNAcentral
UUUUUGUAUUACGACUAAAGGACCCGAAUUUAGGUGAUCUAAAACAAAAAAUAUAUUUUUCUCAUAAAAAAGAGGAGUAAAACAAAAAGUUCUAAAAAAGAAAAUCGGACCUAAAAAACUGGCUUUGAUCAAUUUCAGAAAGUAAACAAAAAAAUUACCUAUCAAAGAGGAUAAGAUUAGAAAAAAAAUUUUUCAAAAAACUUUGAAAAAAAUUGAAAAAUAUCGGGAUUAAGAUCAAUUUAAAAAAUAAUCUUUAGAGAAAAAAUAAAUUUAAAAGAAUUCAAAACAAAAAAAAUCCCCGACUGUUUAACAAAAACAUUUCUUCAAAAAUUAAAUUGAAGUAGGCCCUGCUCACAUAAAAAAUUAAAAAAGCCAAAAAUUUGCAAAGGUAGCAUAAUUACUAGCCGCCUAAUUGGCGGAUUGUCUGAAUGGGUUAACGCGGGAAAAAUUUUCUAUAAAUUUAGUAAAAUAAGAUGGAGGUUAAAUCUCCCCCAAUAAAAAAAAAGACGAUAAGACCCUUUAAUCUUUUUUUUUAGAAGAAUUGAAUUGUUGGGGCAACAGAGAAUAUAAUUUUCUUUUCAGAGGUUUUUACUAUUUAUUAAAUGAGAAUAUGAUACUAAAGGGAUAACAGCAUAAUAUUUUCUUAGAAGACCCAAUUUUAAGAAAAGAGUAUGACCUCGAUGUUGAACCAGAGAAAAU